RNAcentral lists this non-coding RNA (23 nucleotides) under Drosophila melanogaster (fruit fly). The record is from RNAcentral. Lineage: Eukaryota; Metazoa; Arthropoda; Insecta; Diptera; Drosophilidae.
UCAGUAUAUAAGAUCGAAUGUGU